CAAAAACAUAACCUUUAGCCAAACAAAUAUUAAAGGCAACGCCUGCCCAGUGAACAAUUAAACGGCCGCGGUACCCUAACCGUGCAAAGGUAGCAUAAUCAUUUGUCUACUAAUUAUAGACCUGCAUGAAAGGCAAAAUGAGGGUCUAACUGUCUCUUAUAAUGAAUCAAUUAAACUGAUCCCCCAGUAAAAAAGCUGGGAUGCUUCCAUAAGACCAGAAGACCCUGUGAAGCUUAAACUAAACUAUUAAAUUAAAUAAUAGCUACUUUCGGUUGGGGCGACCUUGGAAAAAAAAAGAACUUCCAAACACACGACCAUAACUCGAACCAAACCAGGCCCACAAGCCACCAAACAUUUGACCCAGCAAAGCUGAUAAACGAACCAAGUUACUCCAGGGAUAACAGCGCAAUCUUCUUCAAGAGCCCAUAUCAAAAAGAAGGUUUACGACCUCGAUGUUGGAUCAGGACAUCCUAAUGGCGCAGCCACUAUUAAGGGUUCGUUUGUUCAACGAUUAACAGUCCUACGUGAUCUG
RNAcentral lists this ribosomal RNA (532 nucleotides) under Leptodrymus pulcherrimus. Its description in RNAcentral is "partial 16S ribosomal RNA". It matches the Rfam family "Bacterial large subunit ribosomal RNA", at positions 1808 to 2607 of the family's 2925-position model. Lineage: Eukaryota; Metazoa; Chordata; Lepidosauria; Squamata; Colubridae. The record is from RNAcentral.